AUUGAACGCUGGCGGAAUGCUUUACACAUGCAAGUCGAACGGCAGCACGGACUUCGGUCUGGUGGCGAGUGGCGAACGGGUGAGUAAUGUAUCGGAACGUGCCCAGUCGUGGGGGAUAACGUAGUGAAAAUUACGCUAAUACCGCAUACGAUCUAUGGAUGAAAGCGGGGGAUCGCAAGACCUCGCGCGAUUGGAGCGGCCGAUAUCAGAUUAGGUAGUUGGUGGGGUAAAGGCCCACCAAGCCAACGAUCUGUAGCGGGUCUGAGAGGACGACCAGGCACACUGGAACUGAGACCCGGUCCAGACUCCUACGGGAGGCAGCAGUGGGGAAUUGUGGACAAUGGGCGAAAGCCUGAUCCAGCCAUUGCGCGUGCAGGAUGAAGGCGCUCGGGUUGUAAACUGCUUUUGUACAGAACGAAAAGGUUUCUACUAAUACUAGGGGCUCAUGACGGUACUGUAAGAAUAAGCACCGGCUAACUACGUGCCAGCCGCCGCGGUAA
Molecule: ribosomal RNA, 500 nt
Filed under: uncultured bacterium
Lineage: Bacteria
Description: partial 16S ribosomal RNA
Rfam family: Bacterial small subunit ribosomal RNA
Source: RNAcentral